Molecule: small nuclear RNA, 105 nt
Organism: Castor canadensis (American beaver)
Lineage: Eukaryota; Metazoa; Chordata; Mammalia; Rodentia; Castoridae
Source: Ensembl
AUGCACUCACUUCAGCUGCACAGAUGCUAAAAUUAGAAUGAUGUAGAAAUAGCAUGACCCUUGAACAAGGAUGGCAUGCAAAUUCAUGAAGUGUUCCAUAUUUUU